Molecule: long non-coding RNA, 475 nt
Organism: Drosophila mojavensis
Lineage: Eukaryota; Metazoa; Arthropoda; Insecta; Diptera; Drosophilidae
Exons: 2
Source: RefSeq, a predicted model, not a curated record
AGAUUUAAGUUAACUUUGAUAUUGUUUUCAAUAGUUGUUUCAUUAAAAUUGUAUGUCUGUGUGGGAGGACCUUUUUUCAGUUUGAAAUACUAAUGAUGAGUAUUAGCAGUAUAAGCUGAAAAUUGAGUUUUACAGAGCUCGGCUUUAUCAAAAUUGUUUGCGAUAGUCCAGCAAAUCAUCGCAAUCAGUAGCUGAUUGCGAUGUGUAUGAAGCUUUAACGUUUUGGUUGUGGAAUUCCAGUGCCGAGGGCGUGUUGUGGACCAUGUGGACGGUGCUCAUCUGGAUAUUCGAAAUGCUGCUUUACCUGCUGUGGAUUAUACCCAGAGAGAUUUUGCGGUCCCUGCAGUAAGUCCUUUUUAGAUCCAGCUCGGCUCAGCUGACUGGCCCCAAAUAACCGCUGCAAUUUUUAGCUGGGCUAUUGUAAAUAUUAAGCCAAUGGACUUUUAAUAAAUCUCAAGCAAUAGACAAAUAAAAA